RNAcentral lists this unclassified non-coding RNA (234 nucleotides) under Hevea brasiliensis (rubber tree). Lineage: Eukaryota; Viridiplantae; Streptophyta; Magnoliopsida; Malpighiales; Euphorbiaceae. The record is from RNAcentral.
UGGGAGAAAUUUGCAGCUUCAGUUCAGGUCUAAAUUGUCACUGCCUCUCUUUACAGGAGGGAAAGUAGAAGGAGAACAGGGUUCUACCAUCCAUGUUGUCUUAAUUAAUGGAAAUACAGGCCAUGUUGUAACAGUCGGCCCAGAGUCCUCUGUUAAACUAGAUGUUGUUGUGCUUGGAGGAGAUUUUAAUAAUGAGGACGAUGAUGGAUGGACUGAAGAAGAAUUUGAGUCUCA